AGGGUAAUAGCUCAGUGGUUAAGAGUGCAUGCUUGGUAUGCAUGAGGUCCUGAGUUCAAUUCCCAGGACCCCUU
This 74-nucleotide transfer RNA is filed under the name Camelus bactrianus (Bactrian camel). It matches the Rfam family "tRNA". From Rfam's summary of the family: Transfer RNA (tRNA) molecules are approximately 80 nucleotides in length. Their secondary structure includes four short double-helical elements and three loops (D, anti-codon, and T loops). RNAcentral also lists the same sequence under 2 other names. The record is from Rfam by way of RNAcentral. Lineage: Eukaryota; Metazoa; Chordata; Mammalia; Artiodactyla; Camelidae.